UACAGGACCUACACUGUCAGAGGAUCUGCAU
This 31-nucleotide non-coding RNA is filed under the name Rattus norvegicus (Norway rat). Lineage: Eukaryota; Metazoa; Chordata; Mammalia; Rodentia; Muridae. The record is from RNAcentral.